Molecule: ribosomal RNA, 424 nt
Filed under: uncultured bacterium
Lineage: Bacteria
Description: partial 16S ribosomal RNA
Rfam family: Bacterial small subunit ribosomal RNA
Source: RNAcentral
AAUUUUGGGCAAUGGGGGAAACCCUGAUCCAGCCAUCCCGCGUGUAUGAUGAAGGCUNNNGGGUUNUAAAGUACUUUUGGCAGNGAANAAAAGGUAUCCCCUAAUAUGGGAUACUGCUGACUGUAUCUGCAGAAUAAGCACCGGCUAACUACGUUCCAGCAGCCGCGGUAAUACGUAGGGUGCAAGCGUUAAUCGGAAUUACUGGGCGUAAAACGUGUGUAGGCGGUUCGGAAAGAAAGAUGUGAAAUCCCAGGGCUAAACCUUGGAACUGCAUUUUUAACUGCCGAGCUAGAGUAUGUCAGAGGGGGGUAGAAUUCCACGUGUAGCAGUGAAAUGCGUAGAUAUGUGGAGGAAUACCGAUGGCGAAGGCAGCCCCCUGGGAUAAUACUGACACUCAGACACGAAAGCGUGGGGAGCAAACAGG